GGGUUGUCAUGCCAAUGGCAUUGCCCGGUAGCUAAAUGCGGAAGAGAUAAGUGCUGAAAGCAUCUAAGCACGAAACUUGCCCCGAGAUGAGUUCUCCCUGACUCCUUGAGAGUCCUGAAGGAACGUUAAAGACGAUGACGUUGAUAGGUCGGGUGUGUAAGUGUAGCGAUACAUUGAGCUAACCGAUACUAAUGAACCGUGAGGCUUAACCUU
Molecule: ribosomal RNA, 213 nt
Filed under: Citrobacter freundii
Lineage: Bacteria; Pseudomonadati; Pseudomonadota; Gammaproteobacteria; Enterobacterales; Enterobacteriaceae
Also listed under: 1 other name
Description: partial 23S ribosomal RNA
Rfam family: Bacterial large subunit ribosomal RNA
Source: RNAcentral